Non-coding RNA from Macaca mulatta (Rhesus monkey), 2122 nucleotides. NCBI's taxonomy places the organism in Eukaryota, Metazoa, Chordata, Mammalia, Primates, Cercopithecidae. The record is from RefSeq and is a predicted model, not a curated record.
AUGGGUCUAGGCUAUGUGGAGGCAGGGUCAGAGAUGGAGAUGGUAGCCCAUCCAGCCACCAGCCCCUCUCUUCAGGGCCCUUUCCUGCUGUAUUUUGGGCAGGUGCGCACAUUGAGAGAGGAGAAGGAGCAUAGCAUGAGUUGGAAUCCAGAGGCCCUUACUGUCGCUUCCUUUCUUACCUGGGCCGUGCCCCUGGAACUCCAAGCAGGGCCCUCCAGGUUGGAGCAGCAGCUACAAGCAGAGGCUGGCCACCUGCAGAAGGAACUGGAGAGCCUGGCAGCUCCAAGCCCAGGAGCAAGACACUGAGGGCUUCAGUCACCCGAACCAGGAGUGGGAGGAGAGGCUGCUGGAGCUGCAGCAGGUGGCCAAGCUCUUGGGGGAGCAGGCAGAGUCGCACAGACAAAUCUUGGAGACCAUGCAGAAUGACUGCACCACCAUCAGCCGCGUGCUCACCCAGAACCACGAGCUCAAGGAGCAGCUGUCUGAGCUGCAGAAUGGAUUCAUAAAGCUGACUAACGAGAACAUGGAGAUCACCAGUGCAAUGCAGUUGGAAUAGCACGUAAAGAGGGAGCUGGGAAAGAAGCUGGGCAAGCUAAAGGAGACGGUAACACUGCCCCAUCCAAGAAGAGCUGGAAGGCGGGCACCAGCCUCUGGGGAGGGGAGGUGUGAGGCCAGAGGCAGCUCCAGCCUGGGGGACAGUGGUGGGCUCCUCCCAGGUCUGAACAUCAUCAUCCCGGCUAGAGUCAUGGAGCCCCCCAAACAUAGGGAAAGAGACGGUGGAGGGGCUGCACAACCAGUUACUGCUGUAGACCCAGUUCGUGGACCAGCUGCAGCAGCAGGAAGCUCAAAGCAAAGCAGUGGUCAAGAUGGCCUGCCAAGAGUUGCGGGAGACCCAGGAGAUGGACUGGACAGUGAGGAGGAGGUGGAGGUGCCUCAGCCCAUGCCGAGCAUCCUGGAGGACCUAGAGAGCCAGAAGGCCAUGGGGGCAUUUUUCAACUCAGCUGUAGCUAGUGCCCAGGAGGAGCAGGCACGGCUACGUGGGCAGCUGAAGGAGUGCACUGCCAGCGCAUGGUUCAUCUGCUGGCCUCGGCCCAGAAGGAACCUGAGGUGGCAGCCCCAGCCCCAGGAACUGGGGGCAAUUCCAUGUGUGGGGAGACCCACUGGGCCCUGCAGGCGGCCAUGGAGAGGCUGUAGAGCCGCUUUAUGGAGCUCAUGCAGGAGAAGGUGGACUUGAAGGAGAUGGUGGAGGAACUGGAACAUCGCUUCAUCUAGCUGUCUGGAGAGACAGACAUCAUCGGGGAGUGGGAAGCCAGGGCACAGCAAGGAGAGCUGCACAUCGGUCAGAGGGGCCCCAGCGUCUGAGCCCUGUCCUCCUGUAGGAGAGUACAUCGCAGUGUACCAGAGCCAGAGGGCAGUGCUGAAGGAGCAGCACCAGGAGAAGGAGUGCAUCAGCAGGCUGGCCCAGGACAAGGGAAGAGAUGAAGGUGAAGCUGCUGGAGCUUUUUGCGGCUUGUGAGCGACUGCAACGAGUAGCAUGGAAGAUCCCUGGCAGCUGCCCAGAACCCUGCUGAUGAGCCCACUCCAGAGGUCCCAGCCCCCCAGCAGCUUGGGGCUGCUGACAAGCAGGGUAGUGAGUAGAGCCCUCAGGCAGGGUGGGCACACAGGAGGGCUCGCACAGCGCCCUGCCUCCCUCUCUCCAAAGAUCUUUGCGAGGUGAGCCUUGCCAGCAGCGGGGAGCCUGUGCAAGGAGAGGCAGGGAAGGGUUCUCCCUGCGGUAACCCCACUGCGCAGCAGAUCAUACCGCUGCUUUAUGGAGAUGCAGAACCUCCAGGAGCACCCAAGCUUGGGCAGCAGCCCUUGCAUUCCUUUUUUGUACCAGACUGCCAAGAACGAUGAGGUGAAGAUCACCAUCAUCUAAAAGCCGGCCACUGUCAGCAAAAUCUGGAGAAGUGGGGCUGGAGGCUCUGCCUCUACUGUGUCCCUACCACCCCUUCCCAGUCAACCCUUUACCCUUACAGUAGCAAGCAUAAGACCCCUGUCUAAUGUGGAGAGACGGGUGGAGAUGAGGUGAAGAUCACCAUAAUCUAAAAGGCCACUAAAUAAAAUAAAUUUUAAAAAGGUA